This 440-nucleotide ribosomal RNA is filed under the name uncultured bacterium. RNAcentral describes it as "partial 16S ribosomal RNA". It matches the Rfam family "Bacterial small subunit ribosomal RNA", at positions 338 to 795 of the family's 1533-position model. The record is from RNAcentral.
CCUACGGGUGGCUGCAGUGGGGGAUAUUGCACAAUGGGGGGAACCCUGAUGCAGCGACGCCGCGUGGGUGAAGAAGCGCCUCGGCGCGUAAAGCUCUGUCAGCAGGGAAGAAAAUGACGGUAGCUGAAGAAGAAGCCCCGGCUAAAUACGUGCCAGCAGCCGCGGUAAUACGUAGGGGGCAAGCGUUAUCCGGAUGUACUGGGUGGAAAGGGGGCGCAGACGGCGUUGCAAGCCAGGCGUGAAAGCCCGGGGCCCAACCCCGGGACUGCUAUUGGAACUGCGUGGCUGGAGUGCAGGAGGGGCAGGCGGAAUUCCUGGUGUAGCGGUGGAAUGCGUAGAUAUCAGGAGGAACACCAGUGGCGAAGGCGGCCUGCUGGACUGCAACUGACGUUGAGGCCCGAAAGCGUGGGGAGCAAACAGGGUUAGAUACCCUGGUAGUC